This 569-nucleotide ribosomal RNA is filed under the name uncultured freshwater bacterium. RNAcentral's name for it is "bacterial SSU rRNA". It matches the Rfam family "Bacterial small subunit ribosomal RNA", at positions 8 to 572 of the family's 1533-position model. The record is from RNAcentral.
AGAGUUUGAUCCUGGCUCAGGAUGAACGCUAGCGGCAGGCUUAAUACAUGCAAGUCGUGGGGCAGCGCAGGUAGCAAUACUGGGCGGCGACCGGCAAACGGGUGCGGAACACGUACACAACCUUCCUUCAAGUGGGGAAUAGCCCAGAGAAAUUUGGAUUAAUACCCCGUAACAUAACGAUGUGGCAUCACAUUGUUAUUAUAGCUUCGGCGCUUGUUGAUGGGUGUGCGGCUGAUUAGAUAGUUGGCGGGGUAACGGCCCACCAAGUCUACGAUCAGUAGCUGAUGUGAGAGCAUGAUCAGCCACACGGGCACUGAGACACGGGCCCGACUCCUACGGGAGGCAGCAGUAAGGAAUAUUGGUCAAUGGACGAAAGUCUGAACCAGCCAUGCCGCGUGAAGGAUUAAGGUCCUCUGGAUUGUAAACUUCUUUUAUCUGGGACGAAAAAAGGCGAUUCUUCGUCACUUGACGGUACCAGAUGAAUAAGCACCGGCUAACUCCGUGCCAGCAGCCGCGGUAAUACGGAGGGUGCAAGCGUUAUCCGGAUUCACUGGGUUUAAAGGGUGCGU